UACAGAGGGUGCGAGCGUUGUCCGGAAUUACUGGGCGUAAAGGGUCUGUAGGUGGCCAACUAAGUCAGACGUGAAAUCCCUCAGCUUAACUGGGGAACUGCGUCUGAUACUGGUUGGCUUGAGUGCAGGAGAGGAAUGCGGAAUUCCAGGUGUAGCGGUGAAAUGCGUAGAUAUCUGGAGGAACACCGGUGGCGAAGGCGGCAUUCUGGACUGCAACUGACACUGAAAGACGAAAGCCAGGGGAGCAAACGGG
Molecule: ribosomal RNA, 253 nt
Filed under: uncultured bacterium
Lineage: Bacteria
Description: partial 16S ribosomal RNA
Rfam family: Bacterial small subunit ribosomal RNA
Source: RNAcentral